UUAGAGGAAGUAAAAGUCGUAACAAGGUUUCCGUAGGUGAACCUGCGGAAGGAUCAUUACAGAGAACUGCCUCCGGGCAAAUCUCCCCACCCUUUGUCUACUAUGCCUUGUUGCUUUGGCAGGCCCGCCCUUAGGGCCGCCGGCUCUGCUGGCCAGCGCCUGCCAGAGGAUCACAACUCGAGUUAGUGUCGUCUGAGCAUCAUUAAAUAGUUAAAACUUUCAACAACGGAUCUCUUGGUUCUGGCAUCGAUGAAGAACGCAGCGAAAUGCGAUAAGUAAUGUGAAUUGCAGAAUUCAGUGAAUCAUCGAAUCUUUGAACGCACAUUGCACCCUCUGGCAUUCCGGAGGGUAUGCCUGUUCGAGCGUCAUUACAGCCAUCAAGCACUGCUUGGAGUUGGGCGUCGCCGGCUCACGGCGCGUCUCAAAAUCAGUGGCGGCACCGUCUGGCUCCGAGCGUAGUAAUGUCUCUCGCUUUGGAGCCCGGAUGGGGCCCGCCAGAAGCCAACUAUAUCAUAAGGUUGACCUCGGAUCAGGUAGGGAUACCCGCUGAACUUAAGCAUAUCAAUA
RNAcentral lists this ribosomal RNA (567 nucleotides) under Microglossum rufum. RNAcentral describes it as "eukaryotic LSU rRNA". The stretch from base 215 to 368 matches the Rfam family "5.8S ribosomal RNA". Lineage: Eukaryota; Fungi; Ascomycota; Leotiomycetes; Helotiales. The record is from RNAcentral.